UACGUAGGCAGCAAGCGUUGGUUCGGAGUUACUGGGCGUAAAGGGUGCGUAGGUGGCGCGUUAAGCCGUUGUGAAAUCCCUUGGCUCAACCAAGGAAAUGCUUCGGAUACUGGCGUGCUUGAGGCCGGUAAGGGUCACUGGAACUGACGGUGGAGCGGUGAAAUGCGUAGAUAUCGUCAGGAACGCCAAUGGUGAAGACAGGUGACUGGG
RNAcentral lists this ribosomal RNA (210 nucleotides) under uncultured bacterium. RNAcentral describes it as "partial 16S ribosomal RNA". It matches the Rfam family "Bacterial small subunit ribosomal RNA", at positions 524 to 733 of the family's 1533-position model. The record is from RNAcentral.